UUUGGGAAGAGGAGGAGUGGUGUGGGGUUUGUAUUGUUUCUGGCGAUCGGUAAUUUCGCGUGCGGAGCUGAGUGGACGCGGCAGUGUGCGCGCUUGGAGCGUGUUAGGCAGGUGUGCCCUGCCCUCUCCUGCUUACGUUGAUCUUAUUUGAUCGGGUCGUGACCCCAGCCCCGCUGGUCCGACCCGAAAUGAAAAGCUCUCCUCCUGCGAAGCCCCCUCCUCGAGCGCUGGCUGCAGAGGCCCUUAGGCAACGGCAGCGCUGCUUGGUCCCCGAGGUCCCGGAGCUGGCCCUGCAGGCGGCGCUCAGAAGUGAUGAAUUGAUCAGAUAGACGGGAGCCAGGCUUGUCCCCGGCCACUGAUUAUCAGAAGUUUGAUUCUGAUCUGG
Non-coding RNA from Chlorocebus sabaeus (green monkey), 385 nucleotides. The record is from RefSeq and is a predicted model, not a curated record. NCBI's taxonomy places the organism in Eukaryota, Metazoa, Chordata, Mammalia, Primates, Cercopithecidae.